Molecule: long non-coding RNA, 269 nt
Filed under: Homo sapiens (human)
Lineage: Eukaryota; Metazoa; Chordata; Mammalia; Primates; Hominidae
Description: HSALNT0295275
Source: RNAcentral
AUUUUUCAUCUCAUUUCAUCUCAAUUCAUCUCAUCAUUUCAUCUCCUCAUCUCAUCAUUUCCUCCUUUCAUUACAACAUUUCAUCUCAUUUCUUCUCAUCUCAUUUCAAUUUCAUUAUUUCAUCUCAUUUCAUUAUUUCACCUAAUUUCAUUAUUUCAUCUCAUCUCAUCUCAGUUCAUCUGAUCUCAUUUCAUCUCAGCAUUUCAUCUCAUCAUUUUUCAUCUCAUCUCAUCUCAGUUCAUCUGAUCUCAUUUCAUCUCAGCAUUUCA